CGGACGGGUGAGUAACACGUGGGCAACCUGCCUGUAAGACUGGGAUAACUCGUGGAAACGCGAGCUAAUACCGGAUAAUGCUCGUGGUUGCAUAAUCACAAGCUGAAAGGCGGCCUCUGGCUGCCACUUACAGAUGGGCCCGCGGCGCAUUAGCUAGUUGGUAAGGUAAGAGCUUACCAAGGCGACGAUGCGUAGCCGACCUGAGAGGGUGAUCGGCCACACUGGGACUGAGACACGGCCCAGACUCCUACGGGAGGCAGCAGUAGGGAAUCAUCCGCAAUGGACGAAAGUCUGACGGUGCAACGCCGCGUGAGUGAUGAAGGUUUUCGGAUCGUAAAACUCUGUUGUCAGGGAAGAACACGUGCUGUUCGAACAGGACAGCAUCUUGACGGUACCUGACCAGAAAGCCCCGGCUAACUACGUGCCAGCAGCCGCGGUAAUACGUAGGGGGCAAGCGUUGUCCGGAAUUAUUGGGCGUAAAGCGCGCGCAGGCGGUCUUUUAAGUCUGAUGUGAAAUCCCGCGGCUCAACCGCGGG
Molecule: ribosomal RNA, 536 nt
Filed under: Lentibacillus persicus
Lineage: Bacteria; Bacillati; Bacillota; Bacilli; Caryophanales; Bacillaceae
Description: bacterial SSU rRNA
Rfam family: Bacterial small subunit ribosomal RNA
Source: RNAcentral